GGCGGCCUAGUAUAGUGGUUAGUACAUCAGAUUCUGAUGAACACAUAUUCUGAGGAGCCCGGUUCGAUUCCGGGGGUUGCCU
This is a non-coding RNA of Ceraceosorus guamensis, 82 nucleotides long. The record is from the annotation of a RefSeq genome assembly. NCBI's taxonomy places the organism in Eukaryota, Fungi, Basidiomycota, Exobasidiomycetes, Ceraceosorales, Ceraceosoraceae.